GCUGACCACAGUAGGGCGGGCGUGGUAAGUCGUAGAGCGGAAGGGUUAAGCGGACUGUCUGGUCGUGAGGCGUGAGCAGGCCGUGAUGGAGGACCGAUGAUACAGCCCCGGGCGUAACCUGGGAAAUGCAUUGGUGACUGCAUCGCUGGAGUAAGGCAGAGGGGGGUAGAAGUCCACGUGUAGCAGUGAAAUGCGUAGAGAUGUGGAGGAAUACCGAUGGCGAAGGCAGCGCCCUGGGCCAAUACUGACGGUCAUGCACGAAAGCGUGGGGAGCAAACAGGAUUAGAUACCCGUGUAGUC
RNAcentral lists this ribosomal RNA (300 nucleotides) under uncultured Pyrodictium sp. RNAcentral describes it as "bacterial SSU rRNA". It matches the Rfam family "Bacterial small subunit ribosomal RNA", at positions 496 to 795 of the family's 1533-position model. The record is from RNAcentral. Lineage: Archaea; Thermoproteati; Thermoproteota; Thermoprotei; Desulfurococcales; Pyrodictiaceae.